UGGCUCAGUGGUAGAGCGCUUGCCUUGCACGCAAGAGGCCUUGGGUUUGAUUCCUCA
RNAcentral lists this transfer RNA (57 nucleotides) under Dipodomys ordii (Ord's kangaroo rat). It matches the Rfam family "tRNA", at positions 8 to 63 of the family's 71-position model. From Rfam's summary of the family: Transfer RNA (tRNA) molecules are approximately 80 nucleotides in length. Their secondary structure includes four short double-helical elements and three loops (D, anti-codon, and T loops). Lineage: Eukaryota; Metazoa; Chordata; Mammalia; Rodentia; Heteromyidae. The record is from Rfam by way of RNAcentral.